Herpailurus yagouaroundi (jaguarundi) is the source of this 728-nucleotide long non-coding RNA. RefSeq lists it as uncharacterized. Lineage: Eukaryota; Metazoa; Chordata; Mammalia; Carnivora; Felidae. The record is from RefSeq and is a predicted model, not a curated record. The transcript has 5 exons.
UUAGCUCUCUUCUCUAAGAAACAAAACUGAACCAAACAAUAUUGGGCACCAGAAAGGAGGAGUAACUGCUGAGGGAAAAGAUGAAGGAAUAUAUGAUCAAGAAGAGUGGGGAAAAGCAAAUUCCUUUCUAAUCUUGGAGGAUGGAGAAGAGGAGAGAAACAGGAAAUGAGAUGGAAGGAGGAAAGACGUCACCAAGGAGGUGUCUCCAUGUCUCUUCCUGAGACUCCAGCCCACGUAAAGGGCCAAAUUAAAUAAAACGCCUUAUUGAUCUGGAUUGAAUUUCAAUUUGCUAAGGUUGGUGCCAGCCAACUCCUGUCCUGCAAUGUCUGAAGAGAAAUGCUUGCAAGUCCAAUAACCUAUUCAUCACAGGGGGUGUCUCGACCCCAGUCUUGUCCUCCGAAUCAGUAGUACAGUGCCUCAAAAAGCCCUCAGAACCACGUCUGCCUGCCAAGGCAAAAGCAGAUACAAAAGAAGAGAAGUCACAUGGUGUUAUCUCCAAAAGACUGUGCUUAUCUUGAAUACUUGAAAAACAGAAUGAGUCUUGAUGAGGAAGAAUUACAGUCUUAGCAUAUUCAGGACGCCCUGGCUACCUCAGUAAGGCAUGUUGAAUAGGGCAUCUGGUGAGAGAUGGUGAAUCCUUCAAGCAGCCACUGUUCAUCUUGCUCCCACCACAUGGAAGCCACUAUAAUAGACAUUCAGACAAAUAAAGAGGAAGAUCGAUAUGAAAA